UACGUAGGGGGCUAGCGUUGUCCGGAAUCAUUGGGCGUAAAGCGCGUGUAGGCGGUCCGGUAAGUCCGCUGUGAAAGUCGGGGGCUCAACCCUCGAAUGCCGGUGGAUACUGUCGGGCUAGAGUGCGGAAGAGGCGAGUGGAAUUCCUGGUGUAGCGGUGAAAUGCGCAGAUAUCAGGAGGAACACCUGCGGCGAAGGCGGGUUGCUGGGCUGAUACUGACGCUGAGGCGCGAAAGCCAGGGGAGCGAACGGG
Molecule: ribosomal RNA, 253 nt
Filed under: uncultured bacterium
Lineage: Bacteria
Description: partial 16S ribosomal RNA
Rfam family: Bacterial small subunit ribosomal RNA
Source: RNAcentral